UACGAAGGGGGCUAGCGUUGUUCGGAAUCACUGGGCGUAAAGCGCACGUAGGCGGAUUGUUAAGUCAGGGGUGAAAUCCUGGAGCUCAACUCCAGAACUGCCUUUGAUACUGAGGAUCUCGAGUCCGGGAGAGGUGAGUGGAACUCCGAGUGUAGAGGUGAAAUUCGUAGAUAUUCGGAAGAACACCAGUGGCGAAGGCGGCUCACUGGCCCGGUACUGACGCUGAUGUGCGAAAGCGUGGGGAGCAAACAGG
This 253-nucleotide ribosomal RNA is filed under the name uncultured bacterium. RNAcentral's name for it is "partial 16S ribosomal RNA". It matches the Rfam family "Bacterial small subunit ribosomal RNA", at positions 524 to 776 of the family's 1533-position model. The record is from RNAcentral.